UUAUGGAAGGUAGUAGUAGGGAAUUUUUCGCAAUGAGCAAAAGUAUGACGGAGCAAUGCCGUGUAGAGGUAGAAGGCCUAUGGGUCAUAAAAUUCUUUUCUUGAAGAAGAAGCAAUGAUUAUAUCUUGGAAAAAAACAUCGGUUGACUUUGUGCCAACAACUAUUGUAAUAUAGAGGAUACAA
This 183-nucleotide ribosomal RNA is filed under the name Malus domestica (apple). RNAcentral describes it as "rRNA MD15G0370500". It matches the Rfam family "Bacterial small subunit ribosomal RNA", at positions 339 to 537 of the family's 1533-position model. The record is from Rfam by way of RNAcentral. Lineage: Eukaryota; Viridiplantae; Streptophyta; Magnoliopsida; Rosales; Rosaceae.